This 341-nucleotide ribosomal RNA is filed under the name Ixodes sp. KM-2014b. Its description in RNAcentral is "partial 16S small subunit ribosomal RNA". The record is from RNAcentral. Lineage: Eukaryota; Metazoa; Arthropoda; Arachnida; Ixodida; Ixodidae.
AGAAUGGAAUUUCAAAAAAUUUCUUUUUUGAAUUUAAAAAUUAAAGUUAUUUUUAUUUGUGAAGAAACAAUAAUAUAAAUUAAGGACAAGAAGACCCUAAGAAUUUUUAUUAGCUUUAUUUAAAGACUUAAAAUAAAGUUAAUUUAAUUGGGGCGAUUUAAAAAUAUAAUUAACUUUUUUUAAAAAAAAAAAAACCCAUUAUUAAUGAUAAAUUGAAUAAAUACUCUAGGGAUAACAGCGUAAUAAUUUUAAAUAGUUCAUAUAAAAAAAAUAGUUUGCGACCUCGAUGUUGGAUUAGGAUUCUAAUUUAAUGAAAAAGUUAANAUUGAGAAGUUUGUUCA